Molecule: unclassified non-coding RNA, 88 nt
Filed under: Pseudomonas granadensis
Lineage: Bacteria; Pseudomonadati; Pseudomonadota; Gammaproteobacteria; Pseudomonadales; Pseudomonadaceae
Source: RNAcentral
GUAGGAGUGAGCCUGCUCGCGAUUGCGGUGAGUCAGUCAAUCAAGAUGUCGGCUGACACGACGCAAUCGCGAGCAGGCUCACUCCUAC